Molecule: long non-coding RNA, 904 nt
Filed under: Calidris pygmaea (Spoon-billed sandpiper)
Lineage: Eukaryota; Metazoa; Chordata; Aves; Charadriiformes; Scolopacidae
Description: lncRNA (ENSCPGG00000013019.1)
Source: RNAcentral
GUGGGUCUCAACCCUUUCUCUCCCAUCCAGGUGGAAUCCUUUGAAGGCUGGAUCCGAGGGGGGAGCCCCACGCCCUGGGAGCAGCUCCAGAGGUUUAGGAAGCUGAAGGAUGCUCAGGAUGCCCUGGAGCGGGCGUACCUGCGAGCCCGGCACCAGCACCCGGGGGGCUCGGGGGACUUCGAUCCCGACCGGGCGGUAGAAGGGGAGAUCUUCCACCUGGGACUGCGCCUGGAGGAGCUGAAGGAACGGCUGGAGCCCGGGGUUGGGGGGCAGCCCCCCCCGCAGCCCCCAUCCCCACCGUCCCCUUCCCCACCACCAGCCCCCCGCUCCCCACACCCCGAGGUGAGCUGGGCAAGGCUGCGGGGGGGGGGGAGGGGGGGGAUGGAGCUGGGGGGUGUGAAGAUGCUGGGUGGGGGCACCCUGCUGCAGCUGGGGUGGGGGUCAGCCUUCUCUGACCCCCACCCUCCCCACCCCCCCUUUUGCUGUGCCCUGCAGACCGCCACGCUGACGGAGGGUCCCCAGGGGACGGCGGGGGACAGCGAGGUGGGGACGGGGGGGUUGCCCCGGCGCCUCUGGCACAAGCAGCUCCGAGUGGAGGAGGAUUUCGAGGACCUUCUGGCCCAGUACAAGCAUUUCAAGUCCUUGCCGGAGUCGCUGAGCCUGGAGCAGCUGAGCCUGGUGGAGAGUGGGUCCCAGGAGGAGGUGGAUGGACCUGCAGCAGGGGACAGUGGCCCCAGCAAGGUCCCCUGUAGGACACGGUCACUAGAAGAGGAGGCUGACCUCGUGUCCUCCCCCCUGUAAGUGUUGUGGGAGGACAUGGGAGCUUCACAUGAGCUUCAUACGAGCUUCAUACGAGCUUCAUAGGAGCUUCAACAAGGCCAAGUGCCAGGUCCUACACUUGGGC